This 418-nucleotide long non-coding RNA is filed under the name Ricinus communis (castor bean). Its description in RNAcentral is "long non-coding RNA (RCOM_LNC003370)". The record is from RNAcentral. Lineage: Eukaryota; Viridiplantae; Streptophyta; Magnoliopsida; Malpighiales; Euphorbiaceae.
UCCGGAUAACACUAGAGUUCGAAAGCUGGCAUAGUCAAUAGUGUCGGAAUUUGAAUCUGUAGUGCUUACACGAAGCUUGAGUUGUGUGGAGUCCGAAUAUGCAAAAAUCACUGCCCAAAACUUGUCGAAAAGUGCUAGAUCAAUGCUGGGAUGACGCUGCUCCGGUGAGGCUCCACCAAGGCUGUUGGCAAGGAUAAUGGGCGGAGAAGGGGCUGAACUUAGCUGUCGGAGGGUGAGGUACUCAAAUCCAACGUCGGAUUUGUAAAGGGACGAUGGCAGAAGGUGGUUCUUGCGGUGCCAGCGGAGAUUGACGCCUCCUCCUCUUGUUGUAGCGUUUUCCGGCGAUGGGGAAGGGGGAAUGGCGACGCCGGCUGGAAGGAGAGGAAGAGAAAGGGGAGGGCUGGUGGCUGUGGUGGUU